AACGAACGCUGGCGGCAUGCUUAACACAUGCAAGUUGAACGCAGAAUAGAGCUUCGGCUCUAUUGCUGAGUAGCAAACGGGUGAGUAACGCGUGGGAAUCUGCCUUCUUGUGGGGGAUAACUAAGGGAAACUUUAGCUAAUACCGCAUACGCCCUACGGAGGAAAGGCUUCGGCCGCAAGAAGAGGAGCCCGCGUCAGAUUAGGUAGUUGGUGGGGUAAAGCCUACCAAGCCGAUGAUCUGUAGCUGGUCUGAGAGGAUGAUCAGCCACACUGGGACUGAGACACGGCCCAGACUCCUACGGGAGGCAGCAGUGGGGAAUAUUGGACAAUGGGGGAGACCCUGAUCCAGCAAUGCCGCGUGAAUGAAGAAGGCCUUAGGGUUGUAAAGUUCUUUCACCUGUGAAGAUUAUGACGGUAGCAGGAGAAGAA
RNAcentral lists this ribosomal RNA (429 nucleotides) under uncultured bacterium. RNAcentral describes it as "bacterial SSU rRNA". It matches the Rfam family "Bacterial small subunit ribosomal RNA", at positions 29 to 489 of the family's 1533-position model. The record is from RNAcentral.